RNAcentral lists this ribosomal RNA (467 nucleotides) under uncultured bacterium. RNAcentral describes it as "partial 16S ribosomal RNA". It matches the Rfam family "Bacterial small subunit ribosomal RNA", at positions 28 to 506 of the family's 1533-position model. The record is from RNAcentral.
GACGAACGCUGGCGGCGUGCUUAACACAUGCAAGUCGAACGGAAAGGCCCUGCUUUUGUGGGGUGCUCGAGUGGCGAACGGGUGAGUAACACGUGAGUAACCUGCCCUUGACUUUGGGAUAACUUCAGGAAACUGGGGCUAAUACCGGAUAGGAGCUCCUGCUGCAUGGUGGGGGUUGGAAAGUUUCGGCGGUUGGGGAUGGACUCGCGGCUUAUCAGCUUGUUGGUGGGGUAGUGGCUUACCAAGGCUUUGACGGGUAGCCGGCCUGAGAGGGUGACCGGCCACAUUGGGACGGAGAUACGGCCCAGACUCCUACGGGAGGCAGCAGUGGGGAAUAUUGCACAAUGGGCGGAAGCCUGAUGCAGCAACGCCGCGUGCGGGAGGACGGCCUUCGGGUUGUAAACCGCUUUCGCCUGUGACGAAGCGUGAGUGACGGGAAUGGGUAAAGAAGCACCGGCUAACUACGU